CGCUGGCGGCGUGCCUAACACAUGCAAGUCGAACGGAAUUAAGGGGCUUGCUCUUUAAUUUAGUGGCGCACGGGUGAGUAACGCGUAGAUAAUCUGCCUGAUGAUCCGGGAUAACACUUCGAAAGAGGUGCUAAUACCGGAUAAGCCCACGGUAUCUUUGGAUUCUGCGGGAAAAGGGGGGGACCUUCGGGCCUUUUGUCAUCAGAUGAGUCUGCGUACCAUUAGCUAGUUGGUAGGGUAAUGGCCUACCAAGGCUACGAUGGUUAGCUGGUUUGAGAGAAUGAUCAGCCACACUGGAACUGAGACACGGUCCAGACUCCUACGGGAGGCAGCAGUGGGGAAUUUUGCGCAAUGGGCGAAAGCCUGACGCAGCAACGCCGCGUGAGUGAUGAAGGCUUUCGGGUCGUAAAGCUCUGUCGAGGGGAAAGAAGUGUACGGGGGCUAAUAUCCUCUGUACUUGACGGUACCCCUAAAGGAAGCACCGGCUAACUCCGUGCCAGCAGCCGCGGUAAUACGGGGGGUGCAAGCGUUGUUCGGAAUUAUUGGGCGUAAAGAGCGUGUAGGCGGCUUGUUAAGUCUGAUGUGAAAGCCCUGGGCUCAACCCAGGAAGUGCAUUGGAAACUGGCAGACUUGAAUACGGGAGAGGGUAGUGGAAUUCCUAGUGUAGGAGUGAAAUCCGUAGAUAUUAGGAGGAACACCGGUGGCGAAGGCGGCUACCUGGACCGAUAUUGACGCUGAGACGCGAAAGC
Molecule: ribosomal RNA, 749 nt
Filed under: uncultured soil bacterium
Lineage: Bacteria
Description: bacterial SSU rRNA
Rfam family: Bacterial small subunit ribosomal RNA
Source: RNAcentral